Molecule: non-coding RNA, 98 nt
Organism: Acanthosepion pharaonis
Lineage: Eukaryota; Metazoa; Mollusca; Cephalopoda; Sepiida; Sepiidae
Source: the annotation of a GenBank genome assembly
CAUUAAAACAUUGGCUCCCGUGCGAUCACCGAGGUUAAGCAGCGUUGAGCUUGGUCAGUACCAAGAUGGGUUACCGCUUGGGAAUACAAGAUGCCGUA